GGACGAACGCUGGCGGCGUGCUUAACACAUGCAAGUGGAGCGACGAACCAGGGCUUGCCCUGGGGCAGAGCCGCGAACGGGUGAGUAACACGUGGGUAACGUGCCCCGAUGACUGGGACAACCCGGGGAAACCCGGGCUAAUACCGGAUAUCGCCCCCUCACGCGAGUGAGGUGUGUAAAGGAAGCUUCGGCCUCCGCAUCGGGAUCGGCCCGCGGCCCAUUAGCUUGUUGGUGAGGUAACGCUCACCAAGGCAGCGAUGGGUAGCUGGUCUGAGAGGACGAUCAGCCACGCUGGGACUGAGACACGGCCCAGACUCCGUACGGGAGGCAGCAGUGGGGAAUC
RNAcentral lists this ribosomal RNA (343 nucleotides) under uncultured soil bacterium. RNAcentral's name for it is "bacterial SSU rRNA". It matches the Rfam family "Bacterial small subunit ribosomal RNA", at positions 27 to 363 of the family's 1533-position model. The record is from RNAcentral.